This is a long non-coding RNA of Anguilla anguilla (European eel), 814 nucleotides long. RefSeq lists it as uncharacterized. The transcript is spliced from 2 exons. The record is from RefSeq and is a predicted model, not a curated record. NCBI's taxonomy places the organism in Eukaryota, Metazoa, Chordata, Actinopteri, Anguilliformes, Anguillidae.
AGAGAGGGGGGGGAGAGAGCGAAUCCGCCGGGGAAAUGAACCCGUAAACCUGGCCCUUGAACGCGCGCGCUUCACUCAGUUCCGAGUGCAAAUGGAGCUCCCCCUGGUGCUCAUUAACGGCACCGCGCCCAGGUCAUCACCCCGACCCCGUCUGACCCUCCCCUGUGCCGAAAAACAGCGCUGUCACAUUCGCACCCAAGACCCACCUGUCGCAUUUCCCUGAGAACGAACACUGCGCUCUUCCACCUGUUCACCUCGUCCUUACCUGCCGUUCACCUCGUCCUCACCUGGCGCUCACCUGGAGCUCACCUGGCGUAACCCCCACGCAGGGGAGAGCCCUGGGAACUUUCUAGAACGGCACGCGGUUUAUUAUUAGGCACCGCGACCCGAACAGACCUGCUGGGCUGCAGGUAGCGCCGGUGCCAGGAUGGAGGACAGCGUCCCCAGCAGGUACGCGGCUGCCAGGUGUGCACCUGCUCCACCUGCAGCCACCUGCUCCACCUCGGCCAGAUUAGCCCUCUUUGUGAUGUGUGUGCAGCGGCUGUUCACAACAGCCGUCGGAGGACAAUAGACUCCGAACUUUCUCACAGUCGCACGGUUCAUUACUGGAGUCCCCGGCUCUCUGACUGAACGCAGGGAAACCAUGAAAAGCCUUUAUAAUGUCGAGCCUCUGUUUGACCAUCUGCUGGAAUCCCCCGAUGAUAUAAACCUUGGGGGGGUUUCGCCCUUCCAGUUUGUGUUUGUUUGUUUAUUUGUCAGGGAGAUGAUGAGAAGGAAGCAUUGUUGAAAUAAAAAAAAAUCAAUUUCAGAGGAA